This is a non-coding RNA of Cynocephalus volans (Philippine flying lemur), 477 nucleotides long. The record is from the annotation of a RefSeq genome assembly. Lineage: Eukaryota; Metazoa; Chordata; Mammalia; Dermoptera; Cynocephalidae.
AUGGGCUCCUGGCUGCUCUGCUAUGUAGCCCUGUGCCUCCUGGGGGCGGGACCCUUGGACACAGCCAUUUCACAGAGUCCCAAAUACCUCAUCACACGGAUGGGAACUAAGGAGUCCCUUACAUGUGAACAAAGUCUGGGUCAUAAUGCUAUGUACUGGUAUAAGCAGGACUCCAAGCGAUUGCUGGAGAUUAUGUUUACCUACAGUAAUAAGGAACUCAUUUUAAAUGAAACAGUUCCAAGUCGCUUCUCACCUGAAGCUCCAGACAAAGCUCAUUUAAAUCUUCACAUCAAUUCCCCAGAGCCAGAUGAUUCUGCCAUGUAUCUCUGCGCCAGCAGCCAAGACACAGCCCUGCAGAGUCACCACGUCCCUGUGCACAAACCUCCUGGCCCAGCCAGGAAGCUGUGGAGGCAACGUGUUCACCUGUGCCCCAAGGCUCUGCUUUCCAUUCUCUGUGGGGCCCCUGAUGGAGUUUAA